AUGAAUGCAAUGAGAAUGACAACCUUAUGACAGACCAUUCAGAGAGGGGACGGCUGGUGCGAGUUUCCAUGGAAGUGAUAAGGCCGCCCCAUUUGAGCAGCGGUUCUGAAAUCAGAAGAGUGUAAGAACCGACGGCUGACAGACCGUUAUCUGUUUGAGUGAGCAAAGCGCUGCUUUGCUAAUUUGGGUGGUACCGCGGAAAACAACUUCGUCCCUGUU
Molecule: non-coding RNA, 219 nt
Filed under: Eubacterium limosum
Lineage: Bacteria; Bacillati; Bacillota; Clostridia; Eubacteriales; Eubacteriaceae
Description: T-box sequence
Rfam family: T-box leader
About the family: Uncharged tRNA acts as the effector for transcription antitermination of genes in the T-box leader family.
Source: RNAcentral